Molecule: ribosomal RNA, 492 nt
Filed under: uncultured bacterium
Lineage: Bacteria
Description: partial 16S ribosomal RNA
Rfam family: Bacterial small subunit ribosomal RNA
Source: RNAcentral
AGUGAACGCUGGCGGUAGGCCUGACACAUGCAAGUCGAACGGCAGCACAGUAAGAGCUUGCUUUUCCGGGUGGCGAGUGGUGGGUGGUUCAGGAGUACGUCGGCGUUUGCUUUUUAGUGGGGAGCAAAGUAGGGACACAUACGCCAAAACAGCAUACGACGAACGGGUGGAAGCAUGGGAUCUUCGGCCAUUGGGCGAUCGAAUGUGCGGAUGUCAGAUUAGUUAGUUGGAGGGGUAAAGGCCCACCAAGCCGACGAUCCGUAGCUGGUCUGAGAGGAUGACCAGCCACACUGGGACUGAGACACGGUCCAGACUCCUACGGGAGGCAGCAGUGGGGAAUUUUGGACAAUGGGCGCAAGCCUGAUCCAGCCAUACCGCGUGCAGGAAGAAGGCCUUCGGGUUGUAAACUCCUUUUGUUGGGAAAGAAAAGCAUCUGGUUAAUACCCCGCGGUUCUGACGGUACCGAAAGAAUAAGCACCGGCUAACUACGUG